Molecule: ribosomal RNA, 483 nt
Filed under: uncultured bacterium
Lineage: Bacteria
Description: bacterial SSU rRNA
Rfam family: Bacterial small subunit ribosomal RNA
Source: RNAcentral
CUACGAGACGACGCUGGCGGCGUGCCUAACACAUGCAAGUCGAACGGAGUUAAUGAUUUCGGUUGUUAACUUAGUGGCGAACGGGUGAGUAACGCGUGAACAACCUGACCCAAAGAGGGGGAUAACAUUUGGAAACAGAUGCUAAUACCGCAUAAGACCACAACGUCACAUGGCGAAGGGUCAAAGGAGCAAUCCGCUUUGGGAGGGGUUCGCGUCCCAUUAGGUAGUAGGCGGGGUAACGGCCCACCUAGCCAACGAUGGGUAGCCGAGCUGAGAGGCUGAUCGGCCACACUGGAACUGAGACACGGUCCAGAUUCCUACGGGAGGCAGCAGUGGGGAAUAUUGGGCAAGUGGGCGCAAGCCUCGACCCAGCAACGCCGCGUGAGGGAAGAAGGUUUCGGAUUGUAAACCUCUGUCGCAGAAGACGAAGGAAGUGACGGUAUUCUGUGAGGAAGCCCCGGCUAACUACGUGCCAGCCGCCGC